AGCAAACCGCCGAUGGCCCACGCAAGUGGGAUCAGGUAAGGGUGAAAGGGUGCGGUAAGAGCGCACCGCGCGGCUGGUAACAGUCCGUGGCACGGUAAACUCCACCCGGAGCAAGGCCAAAUAGGGGUUCAUAAGGUACGGCCCGUACUGAACCCGGGUAGGCUGCUUGAGCCAGUGAGCGAUUGCUGGCCUAGAUGAAUGACUGUCCACGACAGAACCCGGCUUAUCGGUCAGUUUCACUU
Molecule: RNase P RNA, 242 nt
Filed under: Salmonella enterica subsp. enterica serovar Typhi
Lineage: Bacteria; Pseudomonadati; Pseudomonadota; Gammaproteobacteria; Enterobacterales; Enterobacteriaceae
Description: partial RNase P RNA component class A
Rfam family: Bacterial RNase P class A
About the family: Ribonuclease P (RNase P) is a ubiquitous endoribonuclease, found in archaea, bacteria and eukarya as well as chloroplasts and mitochondria.
Source: RNAcentral